This 263-nucleotide long non-coding RNA is filed under the name Carica papaya (papaya). RNAcentral's name for it is "long non-coding RNA (CPAP_LNC016637)". Lineage: Eukaryota; Viridiplantae; Streptophyta; Magnoliopsida; Brassicales; Caricaceae. The record is from RNAcentral.
GUUGUUAUAUUUUAAAUUUGAAUCAUACUAAUCGUUCCUUAACAAUAUGAUUGGGAUUUUUUAUCUUUAUAAGAGAUUUUGGAUUCGAAUUAUGUUUCUUGUACAUUAUUUUUAGGAGAUUGUAUCACCUAAUUAAUGAAAUAUAUGAAUUUUUAUUAAAAAAAUUAAAUCCUAAAUUUUAUUUUCAUUUUUCAGAAUUAAUAUUCUUUUUGAAAAGUAAGAGAGCUUUUAUCAAUAACAAAUAUAUUUAUAAAACUAACCAU